RNAcentral lists this long non-coding RNA (894 nucleotides) under Cercocebus atys (sooty mangabey). RNAcentral describes it as "lncRNA (ENSCATG00000045870.1)". Lineage: Eukaryota; Metazoa; Chordata; Mammalia; Primates; Cercopithecidae. The record is from RNAcentral.
GUCAGGCAGCCACAUUCCUUUCUGUAUGAGGAUAAUAUUUUAUAGUCAGCCAGAUCAGAGUUCUUCUCCUCUUUUUGGUCUUCUCUUUUCCUUCUUGGUUAGAGACUGUGUUAGAGACUACUCCUAAUUAGAAACGUGUAUGUUUCAGUAGAAACCAUGCCAGAUGUGUGGUGCAGUUCAGUGGAAUGUUAGAGAGCAACUGGUGGUGGCACUUUCAAUUGGGAUUGUAAACGUGACAGAUGGGGGCCGAGGCAACAAGAGCCUGGAAGCAUGAGCCAGUGAUUCUCAGCUCCAAGAAAUGCAGAUGUCCCUUAGUGGGGCAUUUCUUGGUGUGAGGAGACAUUCGCAAACACUCAAGGCACUGUGGGACUUGUGUUACAGCAACUUUCAGUAAAUACUUUUGUAAUUGCCCAUGGGAUGUCAGCAUUCAUGAGAUGAAGUUCCAACUCUAAAGAUGAAAGCCCUGUUUUUGAAUCAAGCACUUAAUGAGUAAGGAUUUCACAAGCUGCAAAAUCUGCCCUUGAGAAUCCCCGACAACUGAAUAUUCCAUGGCUUCCACUGAUGAUCAUGCUGUCAGUUAAGUAUUUCGCUUUUUUUAAACAGCUGGGUAUAUUUUUUUCUCUAUGAAAUCCUGUGAAGAGAGUUUGAUGUAGCAAAUUUUUUUUUUAAAAAAGGCUUGUCAUAUACCAGGAGGUAUCAACAAUCACCAAGCUGUCGUGCAUUAACUACCUGUUUCACCUCCAUUGAGGGACAUGUAUCGUGUGAAUCAUUGGAUCUAUGAAACCUGGCUGUGAUAAAUACCAAGGAAUUCUAUGCCAGUUCACAGCAGUAAGAGUGCAGAAGUGCCAGUAUCUUUGCCGUGAGUGGAGCCUGUCUGCCCCAAUCUAGUCUGGG